RNAcentral lists this ribosomal RNA (254 nucleotides) under uncultured bacterium. RNAcentral's name for it is "partial 16S ribosomal RNA". It matches the Rfam family "Bacterial small subunit ribosomal RNA", at positions 524 to 776 of the family's 1533-position model. The record is from RNAcentral.
UACGUAGGGACCAAGCGUUGUUCGGAUUUACUGGGCGUAAAGGGCGCGUAGGCGGCGCGGUAAGUCACUUGUGAAAUCUCUGAGCUUAACUCAGAACGGCCAAGUGAUACUGCAGUGCUAGAGUGCAGAAAGGGCAAUCGGAAUUCUUGGUGUAGCGGUGAAAUGCGUAGAUAUCAAGAGGAACACCUGAGGCGAAGGCGGGUUGCUAGGCUGACACUGACGCUGAGUGUGCGAAAGCCAGGGGAGCAAACGGG